GUAGUUAGCCGGGGCUUCCUCACAAGGUACCGUCACUUCUUCGUCCCUUGCGACAGAGGUUUACAAUCCGAAAACCUUCUUCCCUCACGCGGCGUUGCUGGGUCAGGCUUGCGCCCAUUGCCCAAUAUUCCCCACUGCUGCCUCCCGUAGGAGUCUGGACCGUGUCUCAGUUCCAGUGUGGCCGAUCAGCCUCUCAGCUCGGCUACCCAUCGCAGGCUUGGUGGGCUGUUAUCUCACCAACUACCUAAUGGGACGCGAACCCCUCCUUCAGCGGAUUGCUCCUUUGACCUCAUCCCGAUGCCGGGUCGUGGUCUUAUGCGGUAUUAGCACUUGUUUCCAGGUGUUAUCCCCCUCUGAAGGUCAGGUUGUUCACGCGUUACUCACCCGUUCGCCACUAAAAUUUAUCUUCCAUCCGAAAACUUCUGAUAAAUCUCCGUUCGACUUGCAUGUGUUAGGCACGCCGCCAGCGUUCGUCCUGAGCCAGGAUCAAACUCUGA
This 497-nucleotide ribosomal RNA is filed under the name uncultured bacterium. RNAcentral describes it as "partial 16S ribosomal RNA". The record is from RNAcentral.